This is a ribosomal RNA of 286 nucleotides. It matches the Rfam family "Bacterial large subunit ribosomal RNA", at positions 1 to 295 of the family's 2925-position model.
GAAAGUAAGAAAGGGCGUAUGGCGGAUGCCUAGGCUCACGGAGGCGAUGAAGGACGUGAUAAGCUGCGACAAGCCCUGGGUAGGUGCAAAUGACCUUUGAUCCAGGGAUUUCCGAAUGGGACAACCCGGCAGUCUGAAGGACUGUCAUCCGGAUGAAUAUCCGGAGGCGAACGGAGGGAACUGAAACAUCUUAGUACCUCCAGGAAGAGAAAAUAAACAAUGAUUCCCCCAGUAGUGGCGAGCGACCGGGGAAGAGCCCAAACCGGUGUUGUCAAGGCAACGCCGG